RNAcentral lists this ribosomal RNA (1703 nucleotides) under Chloromyxum trilineatum. RNAcentral's name for it is "Chloromyxum sp. Gifu2017 partial 18S ribosomal RNA". It matches the Rfam family "Eukaryotic small subunit ribosomal RNA", at positions 328 to 1808 of the family's 1831-position model. The record is from RNAcentral. Lineage: Eukaryota; Metazoa; Cnidaria; Myxozoa; Bivalvulida; Chloromyxidae.
GUAAGGUCGUGGCUUACCAAGGUUGCAACGGGUAACGGGGAAUCAGGGUUCGAUUCCGGAGAGGGAGCCUGAGAAAUGGCUACCACAUCCAAGGGAGGCAACAGGCGCGCAAAUUACCCAAUCCAGACACUGGGAGGUGGCUACGAAAAAUACUGGGCCGUUUCCCUAUGGGAUGCGGCACCGGAAUGAGCACAAUUUAAGACAUUUGUCGAGUAACAACUGGAGGGCAAGUCUGGUGCCAGCAGCCGCGGUAAUUCCAGCUCCAGCAGCGAGUGUGAAUGUUGCUGCAGUUAAAACGCUCGUAGUUGAAUGACGCGUUGUGGGGCGCCAGGGCAGACGUGCUAAGCAACUAAAACUGCCUGCGUGAGGUGCUCGCCCGAACCACGUUCGGAGAUGGGCCCACAAGCAGGCAGCGCGGUGUUCGUUCUGCCUUGGAGCGGUCCACGACGGAUUAUCGUGAGAAUGGCGUAUGGCCUUAAGUGGUUGUGCGUCGUGUCUCGCGGAAUGUGCCUUGAGUAAAUCAGAGUGCUCAGAGCAGGCAGCGGCCUGAAUGUGAUAGCAUGGAACGAACAAGUGUGACAGUAGGUGCGGCGGAGGUCUCCGCGAGCUGGCAUUGUUGGCCCGCGGCGGGUCUGCGUCGCACAGCACCAACCACCAAGACGGAUGUUGGUUUCCGUGUUGGGGUGAUGAUUGAGAGGGGCGGUUGGGGGCAUUAGUAUUUGGCCGCGAGAGGUGAAAUUCUUGGACCGGCCAAGGACUAACAAAUGCAAAAGCAUUUGCCAAGACCGUUCCCGUUGAUCAAGAGCGAUAGUGAGAGGUUCGAAGACGAUCAGAUACCGUCCUAGUUCUCACCGUAAACGAUGCCAACCCGGGAUCAGCUUGGAGCUUUCGAUAGAAGUACGCUCGUGGUUGGUCCCCCUGGGAAACCUAAAGUUUUUGGGUUCUGGGGGGAGUAUGGUUGCAAGGCUGAAACUUAAAGGAAUUGACGGAAGGGCACCACCAGGAGUGGAGCCUGCGGCUUAAUUUGACUCAACGCGGGAAAACUUACCCGACCCAAAAAUCGAAAGGAUCGACAGGCUACAGGCCUUUCGUGAUACGGUUAGUGGUGGUGCAUGGCCGUUCUUAGUUCGUGGAGUGAUCUGUCAUGUCGACUCAGGUAACGGACAAGACCUCAACCUUCACUUGUGGAGUGAGUGCAUUCGGCCCUGUUGAAAGACGGGGUUGUGGUAAAACAGCGGAACCGGAAACGGGACUGCCAGAUUCCCACUCACCAAACACUGUAUGAGUGAAAGCUGGUACAGUGUGCGAUGAAGGGACCACCGAGUAUAUAACAAAGUCGGUUGAAGCGAGGCAAUAACAGGUCUGUGAUGCCCUUAGAUGCUCGGGGCUGCACGCGCGCUACAAUGGUGACAACAACAAGUAUCUGGAUCGAGAGAUUCGGGUAAUCAGCAAUUGUCACCGUGAUGGGGAUUGUGCUAUGCAAUUAUCGCACAUGAAAUCGGAAUGCCUCGUAAUUGCGAUUAAUCACAUCGCGAUGAAUGCGUCCCUGCCCUUUGUACACACCGCCCGUCGCUACUACCGAGUGAAUCGUGUCAUGAUGCCUUGGGACCGGACGAAUUGCAGGCUUACGUUUGUCGUUUGCUGGGAUCAAGGUAAAAUGGCGCAGUUUCGAGGAAGUAAAAGUCGUAACAAGGUUUCCGUAG